Molecule: ribosomal RNA, 482 nt
Filed under: uncultured bacterium
Lineage: Bacteria
Description: partial 16S ribosomal RNA
Rfam family: Bacterial small subunit ribosomal RNA
Source: RNAcentral
AUUGAACGCUGGCGGCAUGCCUUACACAUGCAAGUCGAACGGUAACGGGCCUUCGGGUGCCGACGAGUGGCGAACGGGUGAGUAAUACAUCGGAACGUGCCCGAUCGUGGGGGAUAACGAGGCGAAAGCUUUGCUAAUACCUCAUACGAUCUAUGGAUGAAAGCAGGGGACCGCUAGGCAUUGCGCGGCCCGAGCGUACGCUAGCACAUUAGGUCGUUGGUGGGAUAAAAGCUUACCAUGCCGACGACCUGCACCUCGUCUGUGAGGAUGAUCAGCCACACUGGGACUGAGACACGGCCCAGACUCCUACGGGAGGCAGCAGUGGGGAAUUUUGGACAAUGGGCGCAAGCCUGAUCCAGCCAUGCCGCGUGCAGGAUGAAGGCCUUCGGGUUGUAAACUGCUUUUGUCAGGAACGAAAAGCCUUCUUUUAAUACAGGAGGGUCAUGACGGUACCGUAAGAAUAAGCACCGGCUAACUACGUG